UACGUAGGGUGCGAGCGUUGUCCGGAAUUAUUGGGCGUAAAGGGCUCGUAGGCGGUCUGUUGCGUCGGGAGUGAAAACUCAGGGCUUAACCCUGAGCCUGCUUCCGAUACGGGCAGACUAGAGGUAUGCAGGGGAGAACGGAAUUCCUGGUGUAGCGGUGAAAUGCGCAGAUAUCAGGAGGAACACCGGUGGCUAAGGCGGUUCUCUGGGCAUUACCUGACGCUGAGGAGCGAAAGUGUGGGGAGCGAACAGG
RNAcentral lists this ribosomal RNA (253 nucleotides) under uncultured bacterium. Its description in RNAcentral is "partial 16S ribosomal RNA". It matches the Rfam family "Bacterial small subunit ribosomal RNA", at positions 524 to 776 of the family's 1533-position model. The record is from RNAcentral.